CUCCACGUCCAUACCAGGAUGAAAGCACCCAUUCUCAUCAGAUCACAGAAGUUAAGCAUCGUCAGGCUGGCAUAGUACUUGGAUAGGGAACCGCCUGGGAACUCCCGGUGGCGUGGAGU
This 119-nucleotide ribosomal RNA is filed under the name Clytia hemisphaerica. Lineage: Eukaryota; Metazoa; Cnidaria; Hydrozoa; Leptothecata; Clytiidae. The record is from RNAcentral.